AAUUGCAAGUUAAAAAUUUGAUUACUUACAACAGAUAUUAAAAAUAUUAAACGUAAAGAAUGUCUCAACACUUUUGAGCGACAGUAUACACACGUGAAGUUGCAACAUUUGAAAAUCGCAUAUAUAUAGAAAAAUCAUAAAAGGUCAAAAAAUUUCUGUCCCGUUAAAAAUCGUCUAGCUGCAACAUUCGAGGAAUUCCACAACCGAAAGAUAAUAACCGCACGUUUCAACAUGUCUUCAUAACAUCUUGUAACGUGAAAGCUACACGUUUACGUUGCAUUCAUAUCGAUUAAUUAAUCGUUAAACACGACGUUUAAAUGCGAAUACACUUCGUCAACCUCUGACCGAACCGUACACCAAAAAUUGCCAAUUACACCAAGGACUACUCGUCGUAUACCGAAGAUUAUGUUAAAAAGACAUUUAUAAUAUAUA
Frieseomelitta varia is the source of this 432-nucleotide long non-coding RNA. RefSeq lists it as uncharacterized. The record is from RefSeq and is a predicted model, not a curated record. The transcript has 2 exons. Lineage: Eukaryota; Metazoa; Arthropoda; Insecta; Hymenoptera; Apidae.